GACGAACGCUGGCGGCGUGCUUAACACAUGCAAGUCGAACGGAAAGGCCCUGCUUUUGUGGGGUGCUCGAGUGGCGAACGGGUGAGUAACACGUGAGUAACCUGCCCUUGACUUUGGGAUAACUUCAGGAAACUGGGGCUACUACCGGAUAGGAGCUCCUGCUGCAUGGUGGGGGUUGGAAAGUUUCGGCGGUUGGGGAUGGACUCGCGGCUUAUCAGCUUGUUGGUGGGGUAGUGGCUUACCAAGGCUUUGAUGGGUAGCCGGCCUGAGAGGGUGACCGGCCACAUUGGGACUGAGAUACGGCCCAGACUCCUACGGGAGGCAGCAGUGGGGAAUAUUGCACAAUGGGCGGAAGCCUGAUGCAGCAACGCCGCGUGCGGGAUGACGGCCUUCGGGUGGUAAACCGCUUUCGCCUGUGACGAAGCGGGAGUGACGGUAAUGGGUAAAGAAGCACCGGCUAACUACGUG
This 468-nucleotide ribosomal RNA is filed under the name uncultured bacterium. RNAcentral describes it as "partial 16S ribosomal RNA". It matches the Rfam family "Bacterial small subunit ribosomal RNA", at positions 28 to 507 of the family's 1533-position model. The record is from RNAcentral.